UGGCGGCGUGGAUAAGACAUGCAAGUCGAACGAGAGAAUUGCUAGCUUGCUAAUAAUUCUCUAGUGGCGCACGGGUGAGUAACACGUGAGUAACCUGCCCCCGAGAGCGGGAUAGCCCUGGGAAACUGGGAUUAAUACCGCAUAGUAUCGAAAGAUUAAAGCAGCAAUGCGCUUGGGGAUGGGCUCGCGGCCUAUUAGUUAGUUGGUGAGGUAACGGCUCACCAAGGCGAUGACGGGUAGCCGGUCUGAGAGGAUGUCCGGCCACACUGGAACUGAGACACGGUCCAGACACCUACGGGUGGCAGCAGUCGAGAAUCAUUCACAAUGGGGGAAACCCUGAUGGUGUGACGCCGCGUGGGGGAAUGAAGGUCUUCGGAUUGUAAACCCCUGUCAUGUGGAAGCAAAUUAAAAAGAUAGUACCACAAGAGGAAGAGACGGCUAACUCUGUGCCAGCAGCCGCGGUAAUACAGAGGUCUCAAGCGUUGCUCGGAAUCACUGGGCGUAAAGCGUGCGUAGGCUGUUUCGUAAGUCGUGUGUGAAAGGCGCGGGCUCAACCCGCGGACGGCACAUGAUACUGCGAGACUAGAGUAAUGGAGGGGGAACCGGAAUUCACGGUGUAGCA
This 622-nucleotide ribosomal RNA is filed under the name Akkermansia muciniphila. RNAcentral describes it as "bacterial SSU rRNA". It matches the Rfam family "Bacterial small subunit ribosomal RNA", at positions 37 to 680 of the family's 1533-position model. The record is from RNAcentral. Lineage: Bacteria; Pseudomonadati; Verrucomicrobiota; Verrucomicrobiia; Verrucomicrobiales; Akkermansiaceae.